GAGUUUGUGCACGAGCAGGUUCAGCAAGUUCAAGUCCAACAAGCUCGCAGACCAGAAAACGAUCCAUAUUCGAACACUUAUAACCCUGGCUGGAGAAACCAUCCAAAUUUUUUCUGGAGACUACAACCAGUGGUUGGCCCUGCCGCACCUCGACCUCAAUAUCAGGACCCAACAUAUAGGCAUGGAUCAUAUCAUCAAUUUCAA
This 204-nucleotide long non-coding RNA is filed under the name Elaeis guineensis (African oil palm). Its description in RNAcentral is "long non-coding RNA (EGUI_LNC007599)". Lineage: Eukaryota; Viridiplantae; Streptophyta; Magnoliopsida; Arecales; Arecaceae. The record is from RNAcentral.